This 301-nucleotide ribosomal RNA is filed under the name uncultured bacterium. RNAcentral describes it as "partial 16S ribosomal RNA". It matches the Rfam family "Bacterial small subunit ribosomal RNA", at positions 509 to 807 of the family's 1533-position model. The record is from RNAcentral.
CAGCCGCCACGGGAACACGGAGGGUGCAAGCGUUAAUCGGAAUUACUGGGCGUAAAGCGCACGCAGGCGGUCUGACAAGUCAGAUGUGAAAUCCCCGGGCUUAACCUGGGAACUGCAUUUGAAACUGUCAGGCUGGAGUCUUGUAGAGGGGGGUGGAAUUCCAGGUGUAGCGGUGAAAUGCGUAGAGAUCUGGAGGAAUACCGGUGGCGAAGGCGGCCCCCUGGACAAAGACUGACGCUCAGGUGCGAAAGCGUGGGGAGCAAACAGGAUUAGAUACCCCGGUAGUCCUUGUCUCUUAUAC